GGCGCGGUGAUUUAAGGCGAAUAAGUGCGGAUUCGGAUUCCAGGGCCUUCCUGCUAUAGUGACCACGAUGUCACUCCCCCAAAGGACAGGGCAACUGACCCCCCCAUGGAAGCGGGUGGCCCCAAGCCUCCACGCAGCAAGGCAUUUACAAGCCAGGAAGCAAGAACAGACUCCAACCUCCCGAGCGGGGGGCCAUCCCAUCACUGUGCCCGCUCCCAAGAAAACAAAACAAGAGAACAUUCUGGGUCUUUAUUAGCAGGCUCCUUUCUGCUGGGCAGCCCCAGCCCGGCAAGGCCAUGAGUCGGAGCCUCCGUGUAGGGCGGGUCUCCUCAAAACGCGUGCACCAGCUGGACAGCGGGCAGCGUCUGCACGAUCUGGAUGGAGGGCAGGGCCUGCGGGCUCACAAGCCCAGGCGCGGUCCCUGCGGGGACCACCUGCACCAUCUGGGGGGCAGUAGUCAUGGUGCCGGCUGCCGCAGGGGCAGAGACUGGGCCAGGGGGCGGAGGGGCCAGGAGCUGCAGCGUGGCGGUGCCUCCCCCCACGCUGCGGCUUUCCAGCAGCUCGGCGGCAGGGGCGCUGCGGAUGAUGAGCAGUUUCUGUCCAGGAGGAGCUGAGGCAGGUGGCUCAGUCAGCCCAGUAGGAAGGGUUUCUACCUCCUGCACACACAGCCGUGUCUGCUCCCCAUCCGCUCCGCUCAGCACCAGCACGCUCUGCAGCCCCUCGUCUGUCUGCAGCGUCUCAAAGACAACAUCCUGCACCACACCCGCGCUGGCCUCGCCAUCCCCGGCCUCUCCAGGACCUGGGGCCGCAAGCAGCUCCUCAGCUGCCUCGCUCUGGACCACCAGCAGGUUGGGGGCCUCGUGGUCACUGCUCCUCCACUGGAAUUGGACAGCUGGCCUGCCAAAGGCUGCAGCUGGACCGUGGUCACUUCCUGGGCCGGCUGGAGCUGGACCGUGGUCACUUCCUGGGCCGGCUGGAGCUGGACUGUGGUCACUUCCUGGGCCGGCUGGAGCUGGACCCCACUCACUUCCUGAGGCCCUGCAUCCCCACUCCCUACAUUCUGCAAGACAAUGAGGCUCUGCCCUCCCCCACUGCCCCCUGCACCACCACCCCCCCUGCACCCCCCAGGCCGCCAGGCCCCGGUAGCCAAACCACUCCUGCACCCUGGCCAGCUUUUCCCAGAGCCCGAGGCCCCUGCCUCGCUGGUCCACCCCCAGCACCGGAGGGGGGCAGCAGGAUAAGCUUAGGGGGGAGCAGGUGGGGGCGGCGGGUGGGGGGCUGGACACUGCUGGGGAUCAGCUGGAGGCCCUGGGCGGUCUGCACCAGGAGAAAUGUCUGGGAGUUGGGUGCUGCUGGGCCUGGGGCGGGGCCUGGGCCGUGCCCCCGCCACCUCGAGGGAAAGUGUGGCCUGGAGGUGGGGGAGCACGUGGACAUCCUGGGUGGCCAGCGGGGCUGGGGCUGCGGCCAGCGGGGCCGGGGCUGGGGGGCUGCAGCACCAGAGGCCGCCUGGGCCGGGGUGUAAGCGUCCUCAUGUGCCGCUGCAGGUAGGCAGCCAUGACGGCCGCGCCGCAGAUGGCACAGGUGAAGGGGCGCCGGCUGAGUGCGUGCGCUGGUGCAGCAGCAGGUUGGAUGAGUGCGUGAAGGUCUUGGGGCAGAGCGCACAGCGGAAGGGGCGCUCGCCCGCGUGCACGCGCUGGUGCUGCCGCAGGUUGGUGCUCUGCGUGAAGCUCUUGCCGCACACGCCGCACGUGUAGGGCCGCUCGCCCGUGUGGACAUGCCGGUGGCGCCGCAGGCUGGACGAGUUCUUGAAGGCCUUGGGGCAGUCCGGGCACGGGUAGGGCCGUCGCCCGUGCUGCCGCAGGUGGUACUGGUAGUGCGAUGACCACUUGAAGGCCAGGCCACACUGGCCGCAGGUGAAGGCGCGCAGGCCGGUGUGCACACUGCGGUGGAUCUGCAGCAGCGAUGAGCGCUGAAGGCCUUGGGGCAGUCGGGGCACUGGUAGGGCCGCUCGCCCGUGUGGCCUCGCUGAUGGUAGAGCAGUGCAGAGGAGCCCUUGAAGGCCUUGGGGCAGUCGGGGGCACUUGUAGGGCCGCUCGCCAGUGUGCGUGCGCUGGUGAUGCAGGAGCCUGGACGACCACCGGAAAGACUUGCCGCACUCCCGCACUCAUACUGGGCCGUGGUCGCGGGGCCGCCGGCGCCAGCUUCUCCCUGGCCCCUCGGUGGUGGAGGCAGGCACCAUGUCUGCUUGGGAGCCGACCAUCACACCUGGGGGCGGGGGUUCCAGGUCAGGCCACAGAGCCUGGGCCCUGGAGGGAGAGGGCCACCCCCUGGGUCCCCUUUGCUCAGGGAACCUGCUCAGGAGCGGGGCUUCCCAACCCCAGGUGUCCCCUGGGCCUGCAGGGCAGAGGGGUGUGGCCUGGGGUCACUUCCGGGUUUGAACAAAACUUGCCGCACACAGUCCAGCCGCCCCUCCAGAGGCCCCAGCGGUUCUGAGGAGGCUCGGCCUGGCCUUUCAGGCUGAGCUGCCUCCCUCUAAAUGCACCCACCGCAGCUUCCUGUCCUCAGCACCUCCUCCCCUGCUGGGCGUGGCUGUGCACACUUAUGAUCCCGGCAAUCAGGAGACUGAAGCAGGAGGAUCUUGAGUUCAAGGCCAGCCUGGACUAUUAGGGAGUUCAAGGGCAGCCUGGACUACACAGUGACACCCUGUCUCAAAAAACCAGAACACGUUUUGAAUAAAUAUUUUUUAAAAGACCUUAUUCCCAACUCCACCUCAACACUUGCUCACCACCACACCCUGAAGCAGUGGUCGUGGACCCAUGGCACCCUGGCCACCGAGCACGCCAGUCACUGAGUAAAAGCUGUCAGAAGAGUGUUCUAACAUUCCGGCCACGCCAGGGGCUCUCAACUGGCACAACUGCCCCCCACCCCAGGACAGCUGGUGACAGCUGGAAGCACUGCUUCUCUGCCAGCUAGAGAAGCAGGGCCACUGGUACCAGUGGGCAGAGGCCGGGAUUCUUCCCACCAUCGGUUCGGUGCAUAGGACAGUCCCUCGGGAGGACCUGGUCCAAACGGCUGAGAAACCUCACCACCUGCCCGGCCUGCCCGGGCCCAGGCCUCUGGCCUCCCCGCACAUCCUGAACCUCCCAGGAGCUCUCCCGACAGGUUCCUCCACACACACCCUCCCGCUAGGCCCCCAUCUUCUCCAAGAAGGUGCUGGGUGUGGCCCAUGCCAGUGAUCCUAGCUACACUGGAGGCUGAGGCAGGAGGGAAAGUGUGAGCCCAGCUGGGGCAACUUGAUAAGACCUUGUCUGAGAAUAAAAAGUGCUGAGGAUGUAGCUCGGUAAUACAAAGCUUCCCACAAUGCACCAGUCCCUGAGUGCAGUCCCCAGCACCAAAAACCAAUCAACCAACCAAACAAACCAACCUACACUCCAGUCCCCAGGCAGCCACGGCUUUCCUUCUCUCUGCCUCUCUGGAGCAGAGCGGCUCUCAAGUGUCAACCUGCUCUUCCCACCCCAAACCACUCUGCCACUCUGCUGCCACUGCCCAGCAUCCAUAAGGGCGCCCACUUCAAACAUAAUGUGGCCAAACUCUAGGAGCAGUUUUCUGAUCCUGUGCCUUCCUAUCAAAAAUUUAAAAACCUACUCAACCAGUCUUCUAUGAAAACAGGGGGGCCAUUCUUCCUCUGGCCAAGGGCCCUGCCUGCCUCGCCGCCUCCGCUCUCUGUAUAAUCAACCGUCAGGAGAUCCCGGGCUCCACAGGACUGCAGCCAGAAGCUGGGGCCUCGGUCAUGCCUCCCCUGGGCAGCGGUGGUGUCUUCCUAACAGGUCGCCACGUCUCCACCCUGUCUGUUCCCUAAGGGACCCGUCAGGAGAGGACAGGGCAUCACAUUCCUCACUCCCAGGCCUCCUGAAGACCCCUCAAGGCUCAGCCUCUGCUUCCCAGAGCCCAAUCAUCCCUUCCUGCCUCCAAGCCCAGCAAGACAGGCUGUGCCACUCCCUCCACGUCCACGACCCCCCCCCAGUCUUCCCUGAGAGCUGCAUGGCCUUCGACUGCCUGCAGGGCCUCGAGCCCUUCCAACACUGCCUCCUCUCCCCGACUUCACUUGCUCUCCAUCGCGCUCAUCACCAUCCAAGUGCUACACAGCGAGGCAUCUUGGCCUUGGGAGCGGACUCCUCUGUCCAAGGGUCCCCUGCUUUCCUGGUGUUGAGCGGCGACCCUGAACUCGACCCACACCCUCGCAGGUGUGGCAGCAGCCACAAUGACCCUCGCCUAGGAAGCCUCCUACUCGCUCCUGCAGUGUCAUCCCGGAGAACAGCACCGCCCCCAGGUGACAACCGCUACCACACAAUGAUUGCCUCUGCCUCCCCGGGCUAGAAGGCCAGCCCCACGCAAAGGCCUUGGUUUUGUUCCCUGUAGUGUCUCGGCCCCUACAUAACGUCGGGCGUGGCGUGUGCGCUGGAAACGCUUCUGGAGGAAGGCAAGCUGCAGGUCUCGUCUGGACAGGGGUCUUUCCUUUAAAAGAUGGGCGUCCCUUUCGGGUGCGAGCAGCUCCUUGAAAGACAUUGAUUAUCCCAAGGGGCUGGUCUGCCUCUGAGAAGGGGUCAUCGCCGUAUACUCGGGACGCCCGCGCUCCGGAGUGGCGAGCCCAUCCCCGCCUUGGAGCGGGCCGGCUGCCCCUCUAGGGGAUGCGUCGGCCUCACACCAUCUCCACCUCUGCAGCACAAAGAUCCUGCAGUUUUCCCUUGGAUGUCUGGGAAACUGGCACUGGCCUUCAAUGGAAUAACCCUCUUUUGGGGGGCAAGGCGCAAAGCUUUGUAAAAUGGGAAGCCUGCCACGCCCUCGAAACGCAGUCCCUUGCCCUUUAAGAGGGUGGGGCCGAUGCAGGCACAGAAAUCGGAGGCGAAUCAGCGGCCUCCCCUUUAAGGCGCCCCUUCCGGUUUCUCGCUUGCCGUUUCCCAAACUACUCCGCCCUCCGGCCCCUCCCCCCUCGCGCCCUCCGGUUUCUCACCUGCGGCCCCGGUUGGGGGACCCGGGGGAGUCUCCGGGUAUCGCCGCGGGGACCGAUGGGAAGGCGGGCCGGCACGGCACCGCAGCAGCGGAGGCCGGGGAGGGGCGGGGGCGCGCACCCUCCCGGCGGCCCCGGCGCGAGGCACCCAACCUUUAUCGGCGGCCGCUCGCGCACACAACCCCGACGCCGACGCCGCGUCAUGACGCACGCACGCACGUGUGCCGCGCAGCCGGGCCCCGCCCCCGGCCCGCGGCCUGGAGGGUCGGGGGGCGUCUUGGGUUCCGCGUGGGCACUGCGGACGGCCCCAAUCUCCUCGCCGACCGAGCACCCCCCUUCCCGCAGCGCUUCCGAGCGAGCCCCGCCUAGCCGAGGUGACGGGUCUCGCUAUGCAGUUCAGGCUGGCCUCCAACUCCCGGCGACCCUCCUGCCUUAGCCUCCCGAGCGCUGGGAUUAUAAGUCACUCAAAUUGCAAUCUUCAGCAAUUUGGGGUUUUUUCUUUUUUUUGGUACCAGGGCUUGAACUCGGGUCCUUUCGCUUGCGCAGCAGGCGACGAAAAACCAUUGAGCUAAAUCCCCGGCCCCUGAAAAUUGCAAUCUUAACAUUGUACUUUUAAGACAACUGCAGCUUCAACGCACAGUUACCCAGGACCCCAGUGCUUUUUUUCCCUUCCAGGCAACUCCAAAAUUCCUAAGAGUCUCAAAAGAUACAGCGAGCCUAAGUGGGCCCUGCCUUUCUCCUGUAAAUUGGGCCUGAGCCGGUGCUUAUCUUCCAGCACUGUAGAUUGACCAGUUCCAUCCGCAGGAAACGGUAGUUGCAAUCGAUUGAGUACCGUGUCUCUCAACUCCGAACUCCGGUGAAUGUCUCGCAUUCUAACCUAGCGGGCUACAGUCACCCGCGCAGACAGACCGAGUACUCACCCUAGGUGCUCCGCGUCGGGUCACCCCCGAACCAUACCUAUCCGAG
Molecule: long non-coding RNA, 5974 nt
Filed under: Heterocephalus glaber (naked mole-rat)
Lineage: Eukaryota; Metazoa; Chordata; Mammalia; Rodentia; Bathyergidae
Description: lncRNA (ENSHGLG00000042783.1)
Source: RNAcentral